UGUAUCGACUAUUUGUGCGCGGCAAACUCGUUUGUUCGUUUAUUGUUCAAAACCGUGUUAGUGGUUACUAGCAUCGAGCGCGGCAGCCGUGUUCGGCUGUUGAUCGACGCUGUUCGUCAGUUCUCGCAAGAUCACCACGAAUACAGCACGUGCAACGGCUGCCUUUAUGUUGAUGUUCAACAUUAUGGAAGAAAAUAGGAAACCGAAACGAAAAGUGCGUUGGUGGAUUAAGGGACUGUAUCAUCAGCGAAUGCAAUAUGGAAAUAGACUUAUGCGAGAUAUGACAUUUGAAUUAGUGGAGGAUACAGUUAAAAAUUUUACUCGAACGUCAUUAUCGGAUUUCGAACACAUAACCUCAUUGAUCGAGCCAAGAGUUUACUUUUGUUAUGAAAUGCACGGGCAAAGGAAGGAUGCUUUCUCCAUUCAUAUAUACUAUGUAUAAUUCCAUUCAACUGGGGGAAGAAGAAGAAAAAGAAAAAAGGCAGAAAAUGUCACAAUACAAACAGUAUUAAAAAGACAAACUGGUGUUUUUUUAUUUACAUUCACCAUAAACUAGUAACCUUGAUGCUGCAGUGUAAGGGUGUCCUUGUAUGUUGCAAUAUACUGUUUUGCAGAAAUAGGAAGACAUAUACAGGCACACUGUGUAAAUUGUUAAUCAUAUAUACAAGGUCAGCUAAUGCUGGCAUGUGAAGUACAAAUGGCAAGUCAUAACAUUAAUAAUACUGAUUAAAAUUAACAAUGUGUGAGGUGAAUGGAA
This is a non-coding RNA of Zootermopsis nevadensis, 757 nucleotides long. NCBI's taxonomy places the organism in Eukaryota, Metazoa, Arthropoda, Insecta, Blattodea, Termopsidae. The record is from RefSeq and is a predicted model, not a curated record.